UGUCAUGUCUGUAAUGCUCAACAAUUUA
RNAcentral lists this non-coding RNA (28 nucleotides) under Homo sapiens (human). The record is from RNAcentral. Lineage: Eukaryota; Metazoa; Chordata; Mammalia; Primates; Hominidae.